CCUAUUCCAGCUUUUUAUAUAAUUAUGUCCUCAACAACAUUUAUUGUGUUACACAUAUAGAAAGAAACAAAUACAUCUACCUUUCUAAUGUUUUCAAAAAACCUUGCAACAAUUUAUAACAAAAGCUGGACGUACGUACAUCAUCUAUCUAUCAGUAUUGAUAUCAUGUAUUCAAACCAUGAGAUCUAGAGAAAGAAAUAUAUCACCAUAUAUUUUCUGGAACUAAUUAAGCUCACAUGUGUCAAUAUGCCAUGAUAUUUGAUGAUGCCGUUGUCGAUCUUAUGCAAUCACCUAAGCAGCCGAACAGUAUAUGUAGUUAUUUACCCGAAAGUACUUCUUCGAUUUUAGAUCGAUGCAGGGGCAAAUUAAAGGCACCCAACAGUUGGGAGGACAUGUUUAUAACUAGCCUCCACCCAACUGUUAUACUAUAUGACUCCGGCUUAUUACAUAUAUAUAUAUAUAUAUAUAUAUAUAUAUAUAUAUAUAUAUCAAACCUGGAUCGGACCAAUAUGCUUCCAUUCCCCAAGGGACAGAAGAAGAAGAAGAAGAAGAAGAAGAAGAAAGUGAUAUUGAGUUAAGCUAGCUAGCUAUAACAUAUAUAGAAGGAGAAGCUGACCCGCCCCAGUACACUCAGAUUAUAUAGAGAGAUGCAGUACUGGAUGUACUAACUAGCUAGCUCGGAAGCAAGUAGCUAGGGUUUCUUCUUCUUCAAUUCUCGAGUGAAACUGCAUCUAGCUAGCAAGCUCUUCAUUAGGGAUGUAUCUUGAAAUCUUCUCUCUCUCUCUCUUUUCUAUUUCUUUUUCUGAAUUUAGAGGUUGCUGAUGAAGGUGUUAGGUGGUUAAAGUUGAUGAUCAUGUUGUGUUGUGGUGAUGAUAAAAGUUAUAAGGGAAGGAGGAGGACUAAUGAUGCUUGAGACAAGUAGUAAUAAGAGGACAUGAUGAUUGCUACCUCCAAAGCGUUUUGCGUUCAACCAAGGCCUACAAUUAAUUAAUUUCAUGUUAAUUGGAUAGUUGAUUUGACAAAUUUAUAAAAAUAAAUUAUACUAUUUAUAAUUCAUAUAGCAAAAUAUUUAAAUAUUUUUUAUUAUACAAGUAUUAUAUAAUUAUGUACAAUGUAUUAAAUAUGCUACACAAAUGUAAUGGGCUGGAAUCUAAAUCAUUUUUAUACGACUUAAAUCAUGAAGCCAUG
Molecule: long non-coding RNA, 1188 nt
Filed under: Panax ginseng (ginseng)
Lineage: Eukaryota; Viridiplantae; Streptophyta; Magnoliopsida; Apiales; Araliaceae
Description: long non-coding RNA (PGIN_LNC012281)
Source: RNAcentral